This 520-nucleotide ribosomal RNA is filed under the name uncultured eukaryote. RNAcentral's name for it is "bacterial SSU rRNA". It matches the Rfam family "Eukaryotic small subunit ribosomal RNA", at positions 21 to 550 of the family's 1831-position model. The record is from RNAcentral.
UAGUCAUAUGCUUGUGUAAAAGAAUAAGCCANGCAUGUCUAAGUAUAAAUAUUAUACAGNGAAAUUUUUUUUAUGGCUCAUUAAAACAGUUAUAGUUUAUUUGAUAAUUGCUUUACAUGGAUAACCGUGGGAAAUUUAGAGUUAAUACAUGCAUAAAGACCUGACUUCGCGGGAGGGUUGUAUUUAUUAGAUAGAAACCAAUACCUUCGGGUGUUGUGAUGAUUCAUAAUAACUGAUCGGAUCGCAACUCGCUCUGCGAUGAAUCAUUCAAGUUUCUGCCCUAUCAGCUUUCGAUGGUAGUGUAUUGGACUACCAUGGCGAUCACGGGUAACGGAGAAUUAGGGUUCGAUUCCGGAGAGGGAGCCUGANAAACGGCUACCACAUCUAAGGAAGGCAGCAGGCGCGUAAAUUACCCAAUCCUGAUUCAGGGAGGUAGUGACAAGAAAUAACGACCCGUUNCAUGUCAAAUGCAUCGGGAUUGUAAUGAGAACAAUGUAAAUAUCUUAGCGAGGAACAAUUG